AAGUCGAGCGAGGAGAUCCUUCGGGAUGAUCCUAGCGGCGGACGGGUGAGUAACACGUGGGCAACCUGCCUCAUAGAGAGGAAUAGCCUUCCGAAAGGGAGAUUAAUACCUCAUAACAUUGCAGUUUCGCAUGGAACAGCAAUUAAAGGAGUAAUCCGCUAUGAGAUGGGCCCGCGGCGCAUUAGCUAGUUGGUGAGGUAACGGCUCACCAAGGCGACGAUGCGUAGCCGACCUGAGAGGGUGAUCGGCCACAUUGGGACUGAGACACGGCCCAGACUCCUACGGGAGGCAGCAGUGGGGAAUAUUGCACAAUGGGGGAAACCCUGAUGCCAGCAACGCCGCGUGAGUGAUGACGGCCUUCGGGUUGUAAAGCUCUGUCUUCAGGGACGAUAAUGACGGUACCUGAGGAGGAAGCCACGGCUAACUACGUGCCAGCCGCCGC
RNAcentral lists this ribosomal RNA (442 nucleotides) under uncultured bacterium. RNAcentral's name for it is "bacterial SSU rRNA". It matches the Rfam family "Bacterial small subunit ribosomal RNA", at positions 59 to 518 of the family's 1533-position model. The record is from RNAcentral.